UACGUAGGUGGCAAGCGUUGUUCGGAAUUCUUGGGCGUAAAGAGCUCGUAGGCGGCUCAGUAAGUCGGGUGUGAAACCUCCAGGCUCAACCUGGAGACGCCACCCGAUACUGCUGUGGCUAGAGUCCAGUAGGGGAGCGUGGAAUUCCUGGUGUAGCGGUGAAAUGCGCAGAUAUCAGGAGGAACACCAGCGGCGAAGGCGGCGCUCUGGGCUGGCACUGACGCUGAGGAGCGAAAGCGUGGGGAGCGAACAGG
RNAcentral lists this ribosomal RNA (254 nucleotides) under uncultured bacterium. RNAcentral's name for it is "partial 16S ribosomal RNA". It matches the Rfam family "Bacterial small subunit ribosomal RNA", at positions 524 to 776 of the family's 1533-position model. The record is from RNAcentral.